UAAGUACUAACACUGUUUUUUUAGUUUACAAAUAAUUUAAAUAUAAUAAAAAUAAUAAUUGUUUACUUUUGUCAUGACUAGUAUACCUAACGUAAGAAUCAUAAGGUGCAUAAUAUUCCAGUUUAUUAAACACAGUUCUUGGAAUACUUGAAUAGUAAAAUUUUAAUAGAUUAUGAUUAAACAUUGUACUGAAAAUGCCAAGAAGCUUGUUAUCGUCAUCAAACGCCAUCUCUGCAGUCAGCGAAAGAUUCUACGCGUCUACAUAUCACUAGCACCGCCUCUCUUAAACAUAGUUUGAGAAGGCAAGUAUAGAUGGCUCCCAAGGUAAUCAUCAAUACUUACUAUUAGGCUCAUGAGAUCAAACUUUUCUAUUAAGAUGGCUCCUUAAACAAAAUUAUGAAUAUUGUAAGGUUUCAAAAUAAAUAGUUAUUCAUA
Long non-coding RNA from Cydia pomonella (codling moth), 435 nucleotides. RefSeq lists it as uncharacterized. Lineage: Eukaryota; Metazoa; Arthropoda; Insecta; Lepidoptera; Tortricidae. The transcript is spliced from 2 exons. The record is from RefSeq and is a predicted model, not a curated record.